RNAcentral lists this ribosomal RNA (253 nucleotides) under uncultured bacterium. Its description in RNAcentral is "partial 16S ribosomal RNA". It matches the Rfam family "Bacterial small subunit ribosomal RNA", at positions 524 to 776 of the family's 1533-position model. The record is from RNAcentral.
UACGUAGGGGGCAAGCGUUGUCCGGAUUUAUUGGGCGUAAAGAGCGUGUAGGCGGCCAGAUAGGUCCGUUGUGAAAACUCGAGGCUCAACCUCGAGACGCCGAUGGAAACCAUUUGGCUAGAGUCCGGAAGAGGAGAGUGGAAUUCCUGGUGUAGCGGUGAAAUGCGCAGAUAUCAGGAGGAACACCGAUUGCGAAGGCAGCUCGCUGGGACGUUACUGACGCUGAGACGCGAAAGCGUGGGGAGCAAACAGG